GGGGUUGUGGCUCAGUGGUAGAGCACUUGCCUAGCACGUGCAAGGCCCUGGGUUCGAUCCUCAGCAUCACAU
Molecule: transfer RNA, 72 nt
Filed under: Ictidomys tridecemlineatus (thirteen-lined ground squirrel)
Lineage: Eukaryota; Metazoa; Chordata; Mammalia; Rodentia; Sciuridae
Also listed under: 1 other name
Description: Spermophilus tridecemlineatus (thirteen-lined ground squirrel) tRNA
Rfam family: tRNA
About the family: Transfer RNA (tRNA) molecules are approximately 80 nucleotides in length. Their secondary structure includes four short double-helical elements and three loops (D, anti-codon, and T loops). Further hydrogen bonds mediate the characteristic L-shaped molecular structure. tRNAs have two regions of fundamental functional importance: the anti-codon, which is responsible for specific mRNA codon recognition, and the 3' end, to which the tRNAs corresponding amino acid is attached (by aminoacyl-tRNA synthetases). tRNAs cope with the degeneracy of the genetic code in two manners: having more than one tRNA (with a specific anti-codon) for a particular amino acid; and 'wobble' base-pairing, i.e. permitting non-standard base-pairing at the 3rd anti-codon position.
Source: Rfam by way of RNAcentral